RNAcentral lists this long non-coding RNA (757 nucleotides) under Anas platyrhynchos platyrhynchos (common mallard). RNAcentral describes it as "lncRNA (ENSAPLG00000021123.1)". The record is from RNAcentral. Lineage: Eukaryota; Metazoa; Chordata; Aves; Anseriformes; Anatidae.
GAAGGAGGAGAAGGAAUGUGCCUGUUGUUUUCAGGAUGGGAUGUGUAAUCUGACCACUUGGCAGUCUCCCAUACAAGCAAGCAAGUGGCAAGGGGCAGGUGUUCUGGGACUGAGGAACCACGCAGAGUGCACAGAGUACAGGGAGCAGCAAGAUAGAAGUGUGUUUCCUUUCGUUCUCUACAGAGGGAUGCUACAGCUAACCAAAAAAAUAAACCCUUGAAAGUCCCCCAAUGACAAAAUCUUUCCUCAGCCCCUGAUCCUGAAAGAAGCUGGUUCACAGAGCACUCACAGAGCAUCACUGAACAUGAGGAGAGUAUACCUGCAGGGAAGCUCUUUGAAGGAAUCAGCCUGAUCUCAUGUUCCAGGAAUGAAACCCUGGCAUGGAAGUGGCAUAUCUGCUAGUUAAUGUCAACAUUUGAUGUGCAGUGAGAGAGCAAACAGGAUUUCAUAUUGUGGAAGUCAACCUUCUUUAUGUCUGUUUGAAAGUCUUACCAGCCUUCUCAGAUCUGGCCAGCUCUGGAAAACUUGUCUCAGCAGCUCUGGGUAUUUUGGUAGCAAGAACACCACUCUCCCACCAGCAUAUCAGGAGGUAUAUAUGGAGGCCCUUUCGGAAACCCACCAAAGGAGACAAGAUGCCCAAGUACCAGAGUUGCCCUCAACAUCUAUCCUGACCAACCAGACAGAGAGAAAAUCAGUUCAGCUUCUUCUGCUCAGAAACGCUGAGGCUGAGCAAGUAAAAUCAGUAUGGGGAGUAUAA